AAGAUUUUAAGUUAAAUAAACUAGAAGCCUUCAAAGCUUAAAAUAAUUUUUUUUAAAUCUUA
RNAcentral lists this transfer RNA (62 nucleotides) under Geothelphusa dehaani. Its description in RNAcentral is "tRNA-Trp". The record is from RNAcentral. RNAcentral also lists the same sequence under 1 other name. Lineage: Eukaryota; Metazoa; Arthropoda; Malacostraca; Decapoda; Potamidae.